AGUGAACGCUGGCGGUAGGCUUAACACAUGCAAGUCGAACGGCAGCACAGUAAGUGUUUGCUCUUACGGGUGGCGAGUGGCGGAAGGAAGAGGUAUACAUCGGACUCUUCUUUUUCGUGGGGGUUAACGAAGGUAAGCUUAAGCCAAUACCGCAUAUGAUCUUCCGGUGUAAGCAUGGGAAAUUUUCACCUUGUGCGAAUGAAUUCGCGGCUGUCGGCUUGGCUAGUUGGGGGGGUAAUGGCCCACCAUGGCGACGAUCCGUGGCUGGACUGAGAGGAUGAUCAGCCACACUGGAGGUGAGACACGGUCCAGACUCCUGCGGGAGGCAGCAGUGGGGAAUGUUGGACAAUGGGCGCGAGCCUGAUCCAGCCAUACCGCGUGGGUGGAGAAGGCCUUCGGGUUGUAAAGCCCGUUUGUUGGGAAAGAAAAGCAGCAGGUUAAUACCCCGCUGUUCUGACGGUACCCAAAGAAUAAGCACCGGCUAACUUCGUG
RNAcentral lists this ribosomal RNA (492 nucleotides) under uncultured bacterium. RNAcentral's name for it is "partial 16S ribosomal RNA". It matches the Rfam family "Bacterial small subunit ribosomal RNA", at positions 29 to 507 of the family's 1533-position model. The record is from RNAcentral.